UUUCCGACUUUUUAGCUGGGCCUGCCAGUAUGACAUUUGAGCAUGAUGGACUUGGUACCUUGCUGGCCCUGCCUUGCACCUGGAUCCUAGGUAGCUGACCUGAGAACCUUUGGAGCUGCUGUGGUGGGAGAUGUCAUCAGCCGCCAGUCAGCCUGGAAUGACCCCCUUCUACCCUGAGGAUCCUGUUCUCUCUUUCCUUGUCCACCCACUGGUCAAGUUGACCUAGGAUAAAAGCCCGCUGGACCACCUCAAUGACUUUUUAGAAAUUCAACCCAUUCCUGUAACUUCCUAGCCUCUCUUUUAUCAUUGUAUGUAAAGUCUACCUCACAAUAUGUUGAAACAAAUAUAUUCCAUAUCUAGUCCACAUUGGAUUGAUUGUGUAUGAUGUAAGAGCACUUUGCUACAUCUAGAACAAGUGAGCAAGAGAUAGUCUUUGACCUUGGGGACAGGGUCCAGGGCCUGCCUCUAGGAGGUGUUUACAGAAUCCGUGUUUGCCUCCCCUCCCAAGUGAGACUGGAUUUAUGUUGAAAUUUGCUUUAUUUAUUGGC
Long non-coding RNA from Myotis davidii, 548 nucleotides. RefSeq lists it as uncharacterized. Lineage: Eukaryota; Metazoa; Chordata; Mammalia; Chiroptera; Vespertilionidae. The record is from RefSeq and is a predicted model, not a curated record. The transcript has 3 exons.